UAACUUGGUUAACCUAUAAUACCCAAU
This 27-nucleotide non-coding RNA is filed under the name Mus musculus (house mouse). Lineage: Eukaryota; Metazoa; Chordata; Mammalia; Rodentia; Muridae. The record is from RNAcentral.